UACGUAGGGUGCGAGCGUUGUCCGGAAUUACUGGGCGUAAAGAGCUCGUAGGUGGUUUGUCGCGUUGUUCGUGAAAACUCAGGGCUUAACCCUGAGCCUGCUUCCGAUACGGGCAGACUAGAGGUAUGCAGGGGAGAACGGAAUUCCUGGUGUAGCGGUGGAAUGCGCAGAUAUCAGGAGGAACACCGGUGGCGAAGGCGGGUCUCUGGGCAGUAACUGACGCUGAGGAGCGAAAGCGUGGGGAGCGAACAGG
Molecule: ribosomal RNA, 253 nt
Filed under: uncultured bacterium
Lineage: Bacteria
Description: partial 16S ribosomal RNA
Rfam family: Bacterial small subunit ribosomal RNA
Source: RNAcentral